UAGGGAAUAUUGCACAAUGGAGGCAACUCUGAUGCAGCGACGCCGCGUGAGUGAUGAAGGCCUUCGGGUCGUAAAGCUCUGUCGCAGGGGAAUAAUAAAGUGAAUGUACCCUGUAAGAAAGGAUCGGCUAACUUCGUGCCAGCAGCCGCGGUAAGACGAGGGAUCCUAGCGUUGUUCGGAAUUAUUGGGCGUAAAGCGGGUGUAGGUGGCUAUGUAAGUCAGGUGUGAAAGCCUGGGGCUUAACCCCAGAAGUGCAUCUGAUACUGCGUAGCUUGAGUGCCGGAGAGGUUAGUAGAAUUGUUGGUGUAGUGGUGAAAUACGUAGAUAUCAACAGGAAUACCGGAGGCGAAGGCGGCUAACUGGCCGGACACUGACACUCAGACCCGAAAGUGCGGGGAUC
Molecule: ribosomal RNA, 400 nt
Filed under: uncultured bacterium
Lineage: Bacteria
Description: bacterial SSU rRNA
Rfam family: Bacterial small subunit ribosomal RNA
Source: RNAcentral